This 301-nucleotide ribosomal RNA is filed under the name uncultured bacterium. RNAcentral's name for it is "partial 16S ribosomal RNA". It matches the Rfam family "Bacterial small subunit ribosomal RNA", at positions 509 to 809 of the family's 1533-position model. The record is from RNAcentral.
CAGCAGCCACGGGAAUACGUAGGGUGCGAGCGUUAAUCGGAAUUACUGGGCGUAAAGCGUGCGCAGGCGGUUUUGUAAGACAGGCGUGAAAUCCCCGGGCUCAACCUGGGAAUGGCGCUUGUGACUGCAAAGCUAGAGUGCGGCAGAGGGGGAUGGAAUUCCGCGUGUAGCAGUGAAAUGCGUAGAUAUGCGGAGGAACACCGAUGGCGAAGGCAAUCCCCUGGGCCUGCACUGACGCUCAUGCACGAAAGCGUGGGGAGCAAACAGGAUUAGAUACCCCCGUAGUCCCUGUCUCUUAUAU